CUACGCACUCCUACGGGAGGCAGCAGUGGGGAAUAUUGCACAAUGGGCGCAAGCCUGAUGCAGCCAGUGCCGCGUGUAUGAAGAAGGCCUUCGGGUUGUAAAGUACUUUCAGCAGUGAGGAAGGUGGAUAUCGUUAAUAGCAUAUUCAUUUGACGUUAGCUGCAGAAGAAGCACCGGCUAACUCCGUGCCAGCAGCCGCGGUAAUACGGAGGGUGCGAGCGUUAAUCGGAAUUACUGGGCGUAAAGCGCAUGCAGGUGGUUUGUUAAGUCAGAUGUGAAAGCCCGGGGCUCAACCUCGGAAUUGCAUUUGAAACUGGCAAACUAGAGUACUGUAGAGGGGGUAGAAUUUCAGGUGUAGCGGUGAAAUGCGUAGAGAUCUGAAGGAAUACCGGUGGCGAAGGCGGCCCCCUGGACAGAUACUGACACUCAGAUGCGAAAGCGUGGGGACGCAAACAGGAUUAGAUACCCUGGUAG
RNAcentral lists this ribosomal RNA (474 nucleotides) under uncultured bacterium. RNAcentral describes it as "bacterial SSU rRNA". It matches the Rfam family "Bacterial small subunit ribosomal RNA", at positions 329 to 793 of the family's 1533-position model. The record is from RNAcentral.